Molecule: ribosomal RNA, 468 nt
Filed under: uncultured bacterium
Lineage: Bacteria
Description: partial 16S ribosomal RNA
Rfam family: Bacterial small subunit ribosomal RNA
Source: RNAcentral
GAUGAACGCUGGCGGCGUGCUUAACACAUGCAAGUCGAACGGUGAAGGCGGAGCUUGCUCUGCUGGGUCAGUGGCGAACGGGUGAGUAACACGUGAGCAAUCUGCCCCUGACUCUGGGAUAAGCGCUGGAAACGGCGUCUAAUACUGGAUACGAGCUGCGAAGGCAUCUUCAGCAGCUGGAAAGAAUUUCGGUCAGGGAUGAGCUCGCGGCCUAUCAGCUUGUUGGUGAGGUAAUGGCUCACCAAGGCGUCGACGGGUAGCCGGCCUGAGAGGGUGACCGGCCACACUGGGACUGAGACACGGCCCAGACUCCUACGGGAGGCAGCAGUGGGGAAUAUUGCACAAUGGGCGAAAGCCUGAUGCAGCAACGCCGCGUGAGGGACGACGGCCUUCGGGUUGUAAACCUCUUUUAGCAGGGAAGAAGCGAAAGUGACGGUACCUGCAGAAAAAGCGCCGGCUAACUACGUG